Molecule: ribosomal RNA, 497 nt
Filed under: uncultured bacterium
Lineage: Bacteria
Description: partial 16S ribosomal RNA
Rfam family: Bacterial small subunit ribosomal RNA
Source: RNAcentral
GACGAACGCUGGCGGCGUGCCUAAUACAUGCAAGUAGAACGCUGAAGCGAGGAGCUUGCUCUUCUUGGAUGAGUUGCGAACGGGUGAGUAACGCGUAGGUAACCUGCCUUGUAGCGGGGGAUAACUAUUGGAAACGAUAGCUAAUACCGCAUAACAAUGGGUGACACAUGUCACUUAUUUGAAAGGGGCAAUUGCUCCACCACAAGAUUGACCUGCGUUGUAUUGGCUAGUAGGUGAGGGAAUCGCUCACCUAGGCGACGAUACAUAGCCGAACUGGGAGGGGGGUCGGCCACACUGGGACUGGGACACGGCCCAGACUCCUACGGGAGGCAGCAGUAGGGAAUCUUCGGCAAUGGGGGCAAACCUGACCGAGCAACGCCGGGUGAGUGAAGAAGGGUUUCGGAUCGUAAAGCUCUGUUGUAAGUCAAGAACGGGUGUGAGAGUGGAAAGUUCACACUGUGACGGUAGCUUACCAGAAAGGGACGGCUAACUACGUG